RNAcentral lists this ribosomal RNA (292 nucleotides) under uncultured bacterium. Its description in RNAcentral is "partial 16S ribosomal RNA". It matches the Rfam family "Bacterial small subunit ribosomal RNA", at positions 505 to 796 of the family's 1533-position model. The record is from RNAcentral.
GUGCCAGCCGCCGCGGUAAUACGGAGGGGGCUAGCGUUGUUCGGAAUUACUGGGCGUAAAGCGCACGUAGGCGGCGAUUUAAGUCAGGGGUGAAAGCCCAGUGCUCAACACUGGAACUGCCCUUGAGACUGGAUUGCUUGAAUCACGGAGAGGUGGGUGGAAUUCCGAGUGUAGAGGUGAAAUUCGUAGAUAUUCGGAAGAACACCAGUGGCGAAGGCGGCCCACUGGACGUGUAUUGACGCUGAGGUGCGAAAGCGUGGGGAGCAAACAGGAUUAGAUACCCUUGUAGUCC